UUGUAGGGAAGCUCACUUAAUUACACUGGUGAUGAAAUUGUCUUUUCUCUUUUCUUGAGCUUAAGCAGUUAUGCCUUGGGCCCAACUUUCCUGACCUUGUGAGUAAAUUGAGCCACAUGUUCAGCAGAAGAUAUCACAGUAGCUGUAUUUUUCUCCUCGGCUUCUUCUGUCUCCACUCUCCCUCCUGAACUCAAUGUCCCAGCCACAUUGUCCUUCCAAUGCUAGAACAAGGCCUCUGGGCCUUCCCAGUGCCUAGAACACUUCUCUCCUUUCCGCUCCCCUGACUCCCACUUUAGCUUAGUCAACCUCUUUUAACUUUCAGCU
This 324-nucleotide long non-coding RNA is filed under the name Pan troglodytes (chimpanzee). Its description in RNAcentral is "long non-coding RNA NONPTRT009138". The record is from RNAcentral. Lineage: Eukaryota; Metazoa; Chordata; Mammalia; Primates; Hominidae.